UUGCUCUUCAACGAGGAAUGCCUAGUAAGCGCGUGUCAUCAGCACGCGUUGAUUACGUCCCUGCCCUUUGUACACACCGCCCGUCGCUACUACCGAUUGAACGGCUCAGUGAGGCCUUCGGACUGGCCCAGGGAGGUUGGCAACGACCGCCCCAGGCCGGAAAGUUGGUCAAACUCGGUCGUUUAGAGGAAGUAAAAGUCGUAACAAGGUUUCCGUAGGUGAACCUGCGGAAGGAUCAUUAUCGUUUGCUUACGGCCGCCCCUCGGGGUGGCCUGUAACGCUCACCCUUUGCCCUUUACGAAACCGUUUGUUCCCUCCCGCCGGGUCCGCCCGGCGGGGGUCCAUUCAAAAACCUCGUAGUAACAGCAGUACCUGUCUGAACAAAUAUCAAACGUUAAAACUUUCAACAAUGGAUCUCUUGGUUCUGGCAUCGAUGAAGAACGCAGCGAAAUGCGAUACGUAGUGUGAAUUGCAGAAUUCAGUGAAUCAUCGAAUCUUUGAACGCACAUUGCGCCCUUUGGCAUUCCUUAGGGCAUGCCUGUUCGAGCGUCAUUUUCACCCAUCAAGCCCAGCUUGGUGUUGGGCGCCUGUCCGGCUUCGUCGGACUCGCCUUGAAAACAUUGGCGGCCGGUCCCGCGGCUUGGAGCGCAGCACAGUCGCGCCUCCAUGCCUCGCGGGCUGGCGACCAGUAAGCUAUUCUACCACUUUGACCUCGGAUCAGGUAGGGAUACCCGCUGAACUUAAGCAUAUCAAUAAGCGGAGGA
RNAcentral lists this ribosomal RNA (764 nucleotides) under uncultured fungus. Its description in RNAcentral is "eukaryotic LSU rRNA". The stretch from base 1 to 241 matches the Rfam family "Eukaryotic small subunit ribosomal RNA", at positions 1593 to 1831 of the family's 1831-position model. The record is from RNAcentral. Lineage: Eukaryota; Fungi.